CUCUGUGUCUAUAGCGUAUCGGAACCACUUCAUCUCCAUUCCGAACAUGAAUGUGAAACGAUACUGCGGUGACAAUACUUGAAGAGAAGUCUUCUGGGAAAAUAGCACGACGCAGAGG
Molecule: ribosomal RNA, 118 nt
Filed under: Pedobacter sp.
Lineage: Bacteria; Pseudomonadati; Bacteroidota; Sphingobacteriia; Sphingobacteriales; Sphingobacteriaceae
Source: RNAcentral